UGCGGAUAUGGUCAAA
This 16-nucleotide transfer RNA is filed under the name Spiranthes lucida. Its description in RNAcentral is "partial tRNA-Gly". The record is from RNAcentral. RNAcentral also lists the same sequence under 1 other name. Lineage: Eukaryota; Viridiplantae; Streptophyta; Magnoliopsida; Asparagales; Orchidaceae.